Molecule: long non-coding RNA, 1164 nt
Organism: Salarias fasciatus (jewelled blenny)
Lineage: Eukaryota; Metazoa; Chordata; Actinopteri; Blenniiformes; Blenniidae
Exons: 4
Source: RefSeq, a predicted model, not a curated record
AUGAGUCCACCCUUUCACUGGGUGUGGCCUUGCUCCAUAAAGGAUCCUGCGGCACCCUGAUGAGGCAUUCUCACUCUUCUCAUCAGGGCGUCUAGUUCGGACCGCAGCAGGCUCCUGAAUCACUGCAACCAUGCCCCGAGUCCAUAUUGAGAUGUCUCAAGGAUGAGGCUAUCCAAACUACUACUACCAAAUAGCCUCAUAUGUAGGCAACCUCCCCGGCGUGCAGCUGACAUGUGCUUACGGGAGACCAAACAGCUUCGAGGUGUCGGUGGAUGGUAGAGUGAUCCACUCCAAGCUGCAGAGUGGAGCCUUCCCCCAUCCGCAGACGGUGGUGAAUGCAGUAAUGCAACAACCGCAGGCGGCCGUGCCAGCCAGGGGAGGAUGACGGUAGUUCUCCUCACCGUCCUGAGACUGUGAGGAGAAGAGCAGCUGUAUUCACACUGAAGGACAAGCGCGGUGGCUCUUCAAGAUGUUCAUUUUAAUACAAUUUAAUACAAACAUGAAGUCAAAAUUCGACCCUAAAACUCACUGGAUGCCAAACCGACCGCAUGUCUUCACUGUGAAUACACUCCCAGAGCGGAGGUGGAUGGAGUCGACACUGAUCUGCACUUCUGUUAAUGACUGUUCACACUAAAAACGCUCGUGGUGUGCGCACGAUGAAUCCAGAAGCUCCAGCUGAUCUGAACGUCUGCUCUCAUUGCCUCCGUCUGGCAACUGAAGAGACGUUAGGAGACCACAAACUAACAACCUACAUAUCAGCAAUAUGUCAUACCGGCUUUACUUUUGAAUCUGCACAAUGGCUGGGUGUUAAUUAAAGUGAUCGGAAGCUGUAAGUGUAUACUACACUACGACACCACAGUAAAGUACAACCUCAUAAAUAAAUAAACUCAAAGCUCAUCCAAGAGCUGAAGGAACUUUUAAUGAUCGAUCACAUUAAAUUCUUCGUAUUUAACUUUGUGUAAGAGCCACUGGCUUGCCUGGAUCGUGACCUGGGUGAGGCUCUGCAGUCGAAACCAAAGUAGAAUGUGAAUGCCAGGUAUUUUUUCUUCGACUCUGUUGGAGCAUGUUUGACAUUUAAAAACAUCUGUCUGUGAUCAUCACCCAGCUGUGCAAUCAUUCAUUACAAUUUUACAAACAAGUACAAUAAACAAUCAACUGAAUCUC